GAUGAACGCUGGCGGCGUGCCUAAUACAUGCAAGCCGAGCGAACAGACGAGGAGCUUGCUCCUCUGACGUUAGCGGCGGACGGGUGAGUAACACGUGGAUAACCUACCUAUAAGACUGGGAUAACUUCGGGAAACCGGAGCUAAUACCGGAUAAUAUAUUGAACCGCAUGGUUCAAUAGUGAAAGACGGUUUUGCUGUCACUUAUAGAUGGAUCCGCGCCGCAUUAGCUAGUUGGUAAGGUAACGGCUUACCAAGGCGACGAUGCGUAGCCGACCUGAGAGGGGGAUCGGCCACACGGGAACUGAGACACGGUCCAGACUCCUACGGGAGGCAGCAGUAGGGAAUCUUCCGCAAUGGGCGAAAGCCUGACGGAGCAACGCCGCGUGAGUGAUGAAGGUCUUCGGAUCGUAAAACUCUGUUAUUAGGGAAGAACAAAUGUGUAAGUAACUAUGCACGUCUUGACGGUACCUAAUCAGAAAGCCACGGCUAACUACGUG
This 497-nucleotide ribosomal RNA is filed under the name uncultured bacterium. Its description in RNAcentral is "partial 16S ribosomal RNA". It matches the Rfam family "Bacterial small subunit ribosomal RNA", at positions 28 to 507 of the family's 1533-position model. The record is from RNAcentral.